UGAAGCUCUCGGGUGUGGCGGCUCCUCCGGCGCGAGUUGCGAUUUGGUGUUUUGCUCCGGUCAACCUGUAGAGAAAAUGACGGUGGUCACAGUGGUAUAAAAAUUACAUCGAACGGGAACCGGGAAGGGCCUCAUCGGAGGCAAAAACUGAGAAAACCCGCGACGGCGCUACUGGACUUCGGCGGUGUUUUCCGACCAAUAAGCCAGUGGUUUGGCUCUGAUUUGGCCACAGGGAGGUUAAGCAUCGAAAAAAGAGCCAAGGGGAGAAAUUUUACCUCGUUUGGCGGCCGAAAAAUCCUCUGGUGCUACAGCGGGUGGCGACGGCCGGUUCCUCCGGUGGCUGGGUCGUCUUCUCUAGCGAGGGUUCUAGCGGCUAGGGUUUGGGGUUGGGUGUGGAUGCGAUUAUUUAUAACCUUUCCCUUUUAAUCUGAGCCGUCCAUCAUGAUUUAAUCUAGACCGUUCGAUCGCGAUUAAAUUGGAAAUGAAUCUGGACCGUCCGUGCGUGAUCAAAUUUGGGUCGUCCGUGCACGCAGGAACGAAUCUGGGCCGUCCGAUCGCGCGCACGCGGAUCGCUCACGU
RNAcentral lists this long non-coding RNA (579 nucleotides) under Carica papaya (papaya). RNAcentral describes it as "long non-coding RNA (CPAP_LNC016541)". The record is from RNAcentral. Lineage: Eukaryota; Viridiplantae; Streptophyta; Magnoliopsida; Brassicales; Caricaceae.